This 253-nucleotide ribosomal RNA is filed under the name uncultured prokaryote. Its description in RNAcentral is "partial 16S ribosomal RNA". It matches the Rfam family "Bacterial small subunit ribosomal RNA", at positions 524 to 776 of the family's 1533-position model. The record is from RNAcentral.
UACGUAGGGGCCGAGCGUUGUCCGGAGUUAUUGGGCGUAAAGCGCGCGCAGGCGGCUUCGCGCGCCCGACGUGAAAGCCCCCGGCUUAACCGGGGAGAGUCGUUGGGGACGGCGGGGCUUGAGGGCGGGAGAGGUCGGUGGAAUUCCCGGUGUAGUGGUGAAAUGCGUAGAGAUCGGGAGGAACACCUGUGGCGAAGGCGAGUCCCUGGACAACACCUGACACUGAGGCACGAAAGCCGGGGGAGCAAACAGG